This is a long non-coding RNA of Brassica oleracea var. oleracea, 1503 nucleotides long. RefSeq lists it as uncharacterized. The transcript has 5 exons. The record is from RefSeq and is a predicted model, not a curated record. NCBI's taxonomy places the organism in Eukaryota, Viridiplantae, Streptophyta, Magnoliopsida, Brassicales, Brassicaceae.
ACUGCAUCAUAUACUGCCCGUUGUUGAUGGUUGAGUUUGUCAAAAAGCUUCUCGUGGAUAAUGGCCUCCUCAGCUAUGUCAAACUGGUCGUGCCUCGCCAUAGCUUUAUGUUUGAUUUGGUCCAUAACAGCUUUGUUUGGAAGUGGCAUCACCGUAAACUCAGUUAACGACUUCUCGAAGUUUUGUAGCAAGCAUUCUAUUUCAAUAAGUGUGUACUGUUGUAGUUCAUUGGGGGAUAGCUGGAGGUCUGGGAAACGAAGUAGACGUCGCUGCUGCAUGAGAACAUCUUCUGCCAUGUCCUGCCAAGAAUGGUCCCAUAGUUUUUUUGGUUCUGAGACCUGACAGAAGACGAGGAUUAGUACGAACAUGUAGCGAAGAGAUCUUGGCGAUGAGAAUUGAGAUGCUUCUGACAUCGAGUCAUGCCAGUCCUUGUCUGUGCCGAGCAAGCCUCUUGCAUAGCAGGCUUCUUGAAAGGUAUUGUAUUUGAUGUCACCCACUGAAUAUAAAUCGUCAUAGCAUGUAGGGCCUCGUACUACGCUGACCAAAAUGCGCAAGUACCGGUUCUCGACAUUCCCAAGGUCCUCAUCUUCUUCAAAUAUAGCCGUCUGUUCUCCAGGGAGGUGUACUGGCAUUUUCUGUACCGCUGGGGUGUGGUGGUGAAUAGAAAACUCAAAUAUUCUCCACAUCGAUUCACAUGCUGAAAGGAUCUGGAGAUUGUGGGGAACAACAAAUUGAUUGUCAAGCUUGAUGUUUCCCUUGUAAACAACCUGUUCUGUCUACCGUCGCCUGUAUAAGAUGUAGCCGGACUCAUUAACUUGAGUGUGUGAAACGUAGCUGCGGGGAAUUUUUUUACUGCAAACACCAUCCUCCAUGCACGGAGAUGCUUUUCUGUCUUCCCCACAGGGGCCGUGCAUCAUGUGUUGCUCCACCAGACCAUAAGCCUCUGGAUCUUUUUCUUUGUCUGGGAGUUCUGCUGAGAUGAUUUUGUCAAUAUCUGAUGCUGUUGGAUUUCUGAAGUCACCGUCAAGCCAUAGAAGUAUGUGAGCAUGUGGCAACCCUCUCUUCUGAAACUCAAUUGUGUAGACAACUGAGUUUUAAAAAAUAACAGAAUGAUACCUGCUUUGGGACGGGGAAAGAAGAUGCCUUUGUUGAAAUCUGAAAUCAACUCAUCAAGCUUCAUCUUGAACACCCUAGCUUCUAAGUCUGGGUGAUCAUUAGGGUCAUCAGAGCCAUACAUUUUAAGGUGGUCAGAUAUCUCAUCCCAUUUGGGAUUGGUUGUAAUGGUGAUGAAUAAGUCUGGAUUCCCAUACCACCGACAUAUUGCCAUCGCAUCAUGAUACUUUUCAGCCAUAUAACGUGGGCUCCCUGUAAAACUUGCGGGUCUGCUCUGAUCUUCUUCUGGUUCAAUCUGAACCACCGCAACCUCUCUUGCUCUAUGGAUGUGUAAGCGUCAACGAUAUACUGGUGGAGUAAUCUUUUGGAUCUCACAAUAACCAUGCCUUC